Long non-coding RNA from Hippocampus comes (tiger tail seahorse), 416 nucleotides. RefSeq lists it as uncharacterized. NCBI's taxonomy places the organism in Eukaryota, Metazoa, Chordata, Actinopteri, Syngnathiformes, Syngnathidae. The transcript is spliced from 2 exons. The record is from RefSeq and is a predicted model, not a curated record.
CAUUUGGUGCUGGUCCUCCUGGGGCUUUGUUCCCAUUUAACGUUUUACGGCGGUGGCAGACAAACUGGGAGCAAGCAGGCUAAAGUUAACAUUAAUUUAACUACGGCAAAAGGAAUUUAGUUGUUUGUGUUGUAAUGAAUUACUCAUGGAUGUUGUUACUUUGAGAGGCUUCUCAAGUUGAAGUGAGUGCGAUAAACUAAUCAUUUCUCCUUGCUGUUUCCUCAAUGGAAUUUAACGCUUCCAAACUUUAGUUAUCGGAAGACAAAAGGGAUUUAAUACGUCCUUUUAUAUCUGAGCUGUUUUCCAAACACGGUUUACAGGCAGUGACUGUUGGACUUUCGUAUCUCCAGUCAUGGUUGUGUGGUCUCCUGCACUAGUUUUAUUGUUACAUCAGACUAAAUCUAAAUUAGCUUUUC